This 449-nucleotide long non-coding RNA is filed under the name Capra hircus (goat). RNAcentral describes it as "lncRNA (ENSCHIG00000000636.1)". The record is from RNAcentral. Lineage: Eukaryota; Metazoa; Chordata; Mammalia; Artiodactyla; Bovidae.
GUUCAGUUAUGCUUGUGAAUGAAUGAAUAAAGGACUGAAGGGAGUUGUGGGGACAAGAAGUACUGGGAACUAACAUUUAUUUAUGAUCACUGUCAUUGUGCCAGGCAUGGAGCAGAGCUAACCUAUAUUAUCUCAUUUGAUUUUAUAAGACUAAUAAGAAUUUUAUGUUCUUCAUUUUACAGAAGGAAAAAUUAAACCAGAGGAACUAUCUUGUCAUUCAGCCAUCAGACAUAGAGCCUGGCUUCAAACUCAACUCUCAUUCCAAAACGUGUGUUGAUUUCAAGACAACAUGUCACAAUAGUAAAAAAGUCACGAUGGGUUGGGUGCUACAGCAAAGGCGUCGAGGAAGUUCACCUUAGAGCUGUCGGUGCGGGACUUCCGCCCCGGGUCUGCGUGGUUCAUCACCCCUCCGCUUCAGCACCGUCCUCUCUUUCCUUUGGACCUUUCCC